Mya arenaria is the source of this 1297-nucleotide long non-coding RNA. RefSeq lists it as uncharacterized. Lineage: Eukaryota; Metazoa; Mollusca; Bivalvia; Myida; Myidae. The record is from RefSeq and is a predicted model, not a curated record. The transcript has 3 exons.
GAUGAGGGAUAUGAAAAUGGGACCGAAAAAUACACUUUUUACUUGCCGGUAGUUAGUUUUGGUCAGUUUUACUUUAGGUUCCUAAUUGUACAUGAGCACUUGUAAGCGUCUGAUUGAAGAUGAAUGAAAUACCAAAAAGUGAAACUACGGUUAGCGCUAAAGAUCAUACCAAUACCGAAUCGACACAAGCAAAGAUCAUACAGAUGGAAAUACAAUUAAAAUUGUUGUCUGCCACCAUAAAUCUAAACAUGUACGAAAAAUGUUUCUUUUCAUUCCUUGGAUGUGCAAGAAAAUCUUUUAUGUACCAGAUUGUACAGUUCCUAGUAGUGAGAAAUGGCUAGAUGUUAUACAAUAUCAUACUUCAUGAUGUCACCAACAAUGUCAUGUUCUGAGUAUUGGGAAAUAGUUGGAGACUCAGCAGUGCAGAAACUAGUUUACUCAGGUAUGUUAAAUGGCUGCUAGGUUGCUGUUUGAAAAAAUAGUAUGCAGAUGUGCAAGUGACAUUGUGCAACUUUGGGCGUUGGAGAUAAUUGUUACAAUUUUUGAAGAUUUAAUACUUUAACUAUUCUCAUGUUUCUAUAGCAACCAUGGCUCUCAUCCUUAAAGCAUUGCAAUUGGCUUUUUAAAAAGACCUGAUUGUUUGAUAAUACCUUAAUGCAUCAUUAACUUUUUCUUUAUUUAUGUUCCAUAAAGAUUCUAUUAUCAAAAUUAAUAUUACUAGCUUUAAUAAUUAUUGACAUUUCAUUUGACUUUUGACAUGUCUUUUGAGUGCUUCCUUAGUCAUUAAUGUGUAAUCAUUCAGGGCCCUUAUCGCAUUCUGUAAUGGCUCAUUCGUCUACAGUAUGGCCAAAGGUUUAUACUAUUCAUCCAUGUAUUUGUGAAAGAAAUGUUUGCAUUUUAAAGAGUGUCAGUCAAAAAAUAAAUGAGCAUAAUAACCUUGAAGUGAUCAGUUACAAAAGUUGUUAUCUUCCAAGCAUGGAAUAUAGCCACAUGCAAGUCAUGUUCUGCUCUAUAUUUACAUAAUGUUUGUUCCAACUCACGGAUGAUAUUGUCAGAUAAGAGCACAUUGGCAAGUUGCAGACGUUGACUUUCUGAAUUACAGAAAAUAGUUUCAGUCAGGAUACCAGAAAGCAUCAGGACUUCCAGGGCAUGGCUAUAGCUCCUCCUGAAAGAACAUUAGAAACACUUGAUUAUUUGUGUGAAAUACUUUGAAAUAAAAAAAGACUCUUUCUGCAUGAUUUAAUUCCUAAAGAAAAUCAAUAAACCUGAACAAUGAUUUAUAUAUAUAUGCAUAUAU